CCCAGGGAAGCGUUUUGUCCACGUCAGCAAAGCGCGCCCUGAAGGACACGAUUUCUGUUGACAUGGACAAAAUGCUUCCCUGGGA
Gossypium hirsutum (cotton) is the source of this 85-nucleotide non-coding RNA. The record is from Rfam. NCBI's taxonomy places the organism in Eukaryota, Viridiplantae, Streptophyta, Magnoliopsida, Malvales, Malvaceae.